GGUGAUCUGCUCCAUCAGGACAGCGUUCAGACACACGGGACGGGUGUGUGUGUGUGUGUGUGUGUGUCUCACGGUGAUCUGCUCCAUCAGGACAGUGUUCAGACACACGGGACAGGUGUGUGUGUGUGUGUGUGUGUGUGUGUGUGUCUCACGGUGAUCUGCUCCAUCAGGACAGUGUUCAGACACACGGGACAGGUGUGUGUGUGUGUGUGUGUGUGUGUGUGUGUGUCUCACGGUGAUCUGCUCCAUCAGGACAGCGUUCAGACACACGGGACAGGUGUGUGUGUGUGUGUGUGUGUGUGUGUCUCACGGUGAUCUGCUCCAUCAGGACAGCGUUGGUAGCCUCGGUCUCGUGCAGUAGACUGUUCAGGUGCUCCACGCUGCGGGCGGCUGUGCUCAGCUUCUGCGUCAGCUCCUCUUUA
Long non-coding RNA from Carassius gibelio (silver crucian carp), 422 nucleotides. RefSeq lists it as uncharacterized. NCBI's taxonomy places the organism in Eukaryota, Metazoa, Chordata, Actinopteri, Cypriniformes, Cyprinidae. The record is from RefSeq and is a predicted model, not a curated record. The transcript is spliced from 3 exons.